This 507-nucleotide ribosomal RNA is filed under the name uncultured bacterium. Its description in RNAcentral is "partial 16S ribosomal RNA". It matches the Rfam family "Bacterial small subunit ribosomal RNA", at positions 28 to 507 of the family's 1533-position model. The record is from RNAcentral.
GACGAACGCUGGCGGCGUGCCUAAUACAUGCAAGUCGAACGCAUUUUCUUUCACCGUGUCUUGCUACACCGAAAGAAACUGAGUGGCGAACGGUGGAUUAACACGUGUGUAACCUGCCCAUCAGCGAGGGAUAACAGGCGAAAACAGGUUCUAAUACCGCAUAAUUCGAUUUACCUCAGGGAGGUUGGAUGAAAGGCGCUUUUGCGUCGCCUUAUCAGCUACUCGCGGUGCUUUAGCUAGGCGGUGGGGUUGCGGCCUACCAAGGCUGGGAUGCAUAGCCGACCGGAGAGGGUGAUUGGCCACCCUGGGAGUGAGACACGGCCCAGAGUCCUACGGGAGGCAGCAGUAGGGCAACGUCGGCAAUGGAUGCAAGUCUGACCGAGAAACGCGGAGUGAGGGAAGAAGGUUUUCGGGUCGGAAAACUCGGUUGUUGGGGAAGAACACGGAUGAGAGUGGAACGUUCAUCCCUUGACGGUAUCGAACCAGAAAGCCACGGCUAACUACGUG